Molecule: ribosomal RNA, 635 nt
Filed under: uncultured bacterium
Lineage: Bacteria
Description: bacterial SSU rRNA
Rfam family: Bacterial small subunit ribosomal RNA
Source: RNAcentral
AGUUUGAUCCUGGCUCAGGAUGAACGCUGGCGGCGUGCCUUAGGUAUGCAAGUCGAACGAGUUCCAGCUUGCUGGAACUAGUGGCGGACGGGUGAGUGACGCGUAUGGAUCUACCCAAGAGUUCUGAAUAACUUACCGAAAGGUGGGCUAAUACGGAAUAGUCUUUCCGAAGUAAAGGGCUUUACUGCCCGCUUUUGGAGGAACAUGCGUCCUAUCAGCUAGUUGGUGAGGUAAUGGCUCACCAAGGCUAUGACGGGUAUCUGGACUGAGAGGUCGAACAGACACAGGGGCACUGAGACACGGGCUCCACAUCUACGGAUGGCAGCAACCAGGAAUAUUGGGCAAUGGGGGAAACCCUGACCCAGCGACGCCGCGUGGAGGAUGAAGGCUUUAGGGUCGUAAACUCCUUUUAAUAGUUCCUUCACGAACUAUAGAAUAAGCACCUACUAACUACGUGCCAGAAGUCUCGGUAAUACGUAGGGUGCAAGCGUUAUCCGGAUUUACUGGGCGUAAAGAGUGUGUAGGCGGUCCACCAAGUCGUAGCUUAAAUCCCGGGGCUCAACCCCGGUCUUGGUUACGAUACUGGAGGACUAGAAGAUUAUUCGGGGUACUGGAACAGUUGGUGUAGUGGUGAA